CGCAAUACGGGCGGGGGCGGAAGCGGCUCGUCACACAAACACGACUGUGACUCGAACUAGAGGGACUCAAACACGAUUAACUCAAUCACACCUGUUCAUCAAACACCAGUGAUACAACAAACAGCCACACACAGUGCGCAGCGCGGCUUGACAACAUCUGGGCGGACACAAACUCGGCUGGAGCGAUACAAACACAAACAUCUCUACUUUUACUUGUACGGUAACACACGUCAUUGCAACUAAGACAACUAAGAUCAUUUCAAGAUCAUUUCAAUUCAACCAUUUCAACUUCUACACAAUACGCCAUGUAUAUGGCUGUAUUGGUUACUGUCCUUUGGACGAUACUGUUCAUGACAUGGCCCAGGACCAAGCAUAUAGAUCCCGUUUCGACCUCCGCACAGUAUAAGCUGUUUCAAAUACGGACAGCAUCCAAACACGGCAAACAACGGAAACGGUUCAAGGAACACUGCCAAAAUGUCUGCGGCGUGAAACGGUCCCAUCAAGGCACGAUACGGCGGCGAAGUUCUAGGUGUACGGAUGUCACCAGGGAGUUGCUGAUGAUCUAUGAAAAUCGUCAAGAGUGUCAUGAGCAUGAUGAGUCUUUGAUUGUGGAAAAAUCAAGGCUGUGAUAAUCAUACUCUACAAGCCACGAAUGUUCUCCAUUGGUGAUGGCAGGACGUGUGCUCCAUAAAAUGGAAAUUCAGCAUUACUCAUAAGGCACUCCAUCAAUCAAAAGCUUUAUCGAGCUGAAUUCGAUACACUUCAGCACAUCGAGCGCAAGCAUCUACAAGUACAGUACCUGGACAAGCCGUACACCAUGGGCUGAAACGGACGUUCUUUAGCCCAGGUGCACAAUCACCAACUUCACGAGGGAUUGUUACCGCUUCUGGAACUUGAAGGGUUUUCCAGUCGCGCUAUCGUACUACAGAGGAGUAGUCUACGAGACUCCAAAUUAGGGGAGAAUUAUUUAUUGCAUCAUCAUUUUUACACGCAAAAACCUUUCUCGGGGACACACAGGUUUGUACUUGGUACAUUUUGAGUCAAGAUAAGAGAGAUGACUGUGACGGCCUCUGAAGCAACCUUGAAUGUACUGAUGGCCUGCUGACAAACCACAGGUUGGUUACGCUUGACGGGAAAUAUGGAAUGGACAUGAUAUAUUGGCAGACAGAAGUGGGUGCGAUCGUGGAACUCGGGGUCUAGUGCUCAAACUGGUUGAAAGGGCAAAAUUGGACUGGGAAGGCUGUAAUGAUCAAAUGUGAAACUUGGACUGCAUUAAAGCUACAACUAAGUCAACAUCUGAGGCUAAAUAUAUCAAUCCAAUGUCAUUAUUUUGUUUUCUG
RNAcentral lists this unclassified non-coding RNA (1340 nucleotides) under Yarrowia lipolytica. The record is from RNAcentral. Lineage: Eukaryota; Fungi; Ascomycota; Dipodascomycetes; Dipodascales.